RNAcentral lists this long non-coding RNA (228 nucleotides) under Gossypium barbadense (sea-island cotton). RNAcentral describes it as "long non-coding RNA (GBAR_LNC021682)". The record is from RNAcentral. Lineage: Eukaryota; Viridiplantae; Streptophyta; Magnoliopsida; Malvales; Malvaceae.
UUGGCAUCGAACACCUAAGUUCAAUAUAUUACAAAGCAAUAAGCAUUAAGGGUCUCAAAUGUAAGAAUCCAUCAAUAAAUUAUACAAGUAAUUUGAUUAUCCUAGAAGAAUACAAACAGUCAGAUGUGCCAUUAUUCAAUAUGAUGUCAAAUUGCGAAUAAGCCUACCUAAAUAACAUAGGCUUUUUGGCUUCUAACGUUCUGAGGCUUUAGGACAGGUAUGUAUUUC